This 370-nucleotide ribosomal RNA is filed under the name uncultured bacterium. RNAcentral describes it as "bacterial SSU rRNA". It matches the Rfam family "Bacterial small subunit ribosomal RNA", at positions 441 to 793 of the family's 1533-position model. The record is from RNAcentral.
CGUGAGGAAGGUAGUGUUAGUUAAUAGCUGCAGUUAUUUGACGUUUAGCGACAGAAGAAGCACCGGCUAACUCCGUGCCAGCAGCCGCGGUAAUACGGGAGGGUGCGAGCGUUAAUCGGAAUUACUGGGCGUAAAGCGCAUGCAGGUGGUUUGUUUAAGUCAGAUGUGAAAGGCCCGGGGCGUCAACCUACGGAAUAGCAUUUAGAAACUGGCAGACUAGAGUACUGUAGAGGGGGGUAGGAAUUUCAGGUGUAGCGGUGAAAUGCGUAGAGAUCUGAAGGAAUACCGGUGGCGAAGGCGGCCCCCUGGACAGAUACUGACACUCAGAUGCGAAAGCGUGGGGAGCAAACAGGAUUAGAUACCCUGGUAG